UAAGGAAUAUUGGUCAAUGGACGGAAGUCUGAACCAGCCAUCCCGCGUGCAGGAAGAAGGUCCUAUGGAUUGUAAACUGCUUUUAGCAGAGACGAAGACCUUUCAUUUAUGAGAGAGUGACGGUAUCUGCGGAAUAAGCACCGGCUAACUCCGUGCCAGCAGCCGCGGUAAUACGGAGGGUGCAAGCGUUAUCCGGAAUCACUGGGUUUAAAGGGUGCGUAGGCGGGGGAUUAAGUCAGUGGUGAAAGCCUGUAGCUUAACUACAGAAUUGCCAUUGAUACUGAUUUUCUUGAAUUGGGUUGAGGUUAGCGGAAUGUGACAUGUAACGGUGAAAUGUUUAGAUAUGUCAUGGAACACCGAUUGCGAAGGCAGCUAGCUGGGCCUUGAUUGACGCUGAGGCACGAAAGCGUGGGUAGCGAACAGG
This 424-nucleotide ribosomal RNA is filed under the name uncultured bacterium. Its description in RNAcentral is "bacterial SSU rRNA". It matches the Rfam family "Bacterial small subunit ribosomal RNA", at positions 355 to 776 of the family's 1533-position model. The record is from RNAcentral.